RNAcentral lists this non-coding RNA (30 nucleotides) under Homo sapiens (human). The record is from RNAcentral. Lineage: Eukaryota; Metazoa; Chordata; Mammalia; Primates; Hominidae.
UAAGAAGUAAUCCUAGAGAGGCCUGGUGCA